CAUGCCUUAUACAUGCAAGUCGAACGCGAAAGCACUUUCGGGUGUUAGUAGAGUGGCAAACGGGUGAGUAACGCGUGGGAAUAUACCUUAUAGUACGGAAUAGCCUCGGGAAACUGGGAUUAAUACCGUAUACGCCCUUAGGGGGAAAGAUUUAUCGCUGUAAGAUUAGCCCGCGUCAGAUUAGCUUGUUGGUGGGGUAACGGCCUACCAAGGCGACGAUCUGUAGUUGGUCUGAGAGGACGAUCAGCCACAUUGGGACUGAGAUACGGCCCAAACUCCUACGGGAGGCAGCAGUAGGGAAUAUUGGACAAUGGACGAAAGUCUGAUCCAGCAAUGCCGCGUGAGUGAUGAAGGCCUUAGGGUUGUAAAGCUCUUUUAGUAGGGAAGAUAAUGACGGUACCUACAGAAAAAGCACCGGCUAACUCCGUGCCAGCCGCCGCGGUAA
RNAcentral lists this ribosomal RNA (445 nucleotides) under uncultured bacterium. RNAcentral describes it as "partial 16S ribosomal RNA". It matches the Rfam family "Bacterial small subunit ribosomal RNA", at positions 43 to 523 of the family's 1533-position model. The record is from RNAcentral.